GAGAACUAUGGGGAGAUGCUGUCGAAAUUUUCACAAAAAUGAGAUGAAAUAUCCACUAAUAAUAAUAAUGAGAUUAUUACUUUUCUAAAAGGGAUAGGGCCACACUUGUUAGUAAUGAUUUGAAAAGGAUAGGAUCAUAAAUUUUUACUUCAUAAAGGGAUAGGGUCACAUUUUCUGUGUUAAUGUUCAGUCUGCUUGUCUUUUUUAAUAUGUGUUAUUUUGUAUAAAGUGAUC
Molecule: long non-coding RNA, 234 nt
Filed under: Elaeis guineensis (African oil palm)
Lineage: Eukaryota; Viridiplantae; Streptophyta; Magnoliopsida; Arecales; Arecaceae
Description: long non-coding RNA (EGUI_LNC063183)
Source: RNAcentral